This is a long non-coding RNA of Pleuronectes platessa (European plaice), 619 nucleotides long. RefSeq lists it as uncharacterized. The record is from RefSeq and is a predicted model, not a curated record. Lineage: Eukaryota; Metazoa; Chordata; Actinopteri; Pleuronectiformes; Pleuronectidae. The transcript has 3 exons.
UUCAGAGCUGUGAUGAAAAUGGCCGGCGGAGCGAGGGUAUGAAUAAAGAAGAGCUGUUCUGUUUAAAAUACAUCCUCCAGCUUUACUUUAUCUGAUCCAUUUCAUAGUUUUUUUUUUUACAGCCGGAUUCCUGCACACAAUGACGCAGUCACUGCACAUUACGCCGAGACUCGCUGAAAGACCGCAUUUGCAGUACCUGCCUGUACUAUGACGUCCUAAGACCCACUAUGAGCCGGUAUGAAGGAGCUUCCAGUACAACCAACGGGACCUUGCCUCAGCAUUGAGGAGUUCAGGAGACGGCAGAGAAGAAAGAGGCUGAUUGAAGCGGGACAGAUGACAUGGAUCCAUCCUUCCACAGCCAGGAGCUCAACAACCUGUGUGCCACACUUCAAAUAAGACUAGAAGCUACACUGGAUCUCACAGCUACACACCACAGACGUCUACACACCACAGACGUCUACACACUGGGGCAGAUUCGGACAGAGUCCCACAAAGAACAUAUGACCCAGAGGCUGCAAAGAGACAUUUCAAGCUUCACCUGAUUAGCUUUUCACUGGCUAGGCCAGUUGUGUUUGUACAAUAUUUGUGCUGUAUGUAAAUAAAGCUUUGACUCAACAUA